GAUGAACGCUGGCGGCGUGCCUAAUACAUGCAAGUCGAGCGGUAAGGCCCCUUCGGGGGUACACGAGCGGCGGACGGCUGAGUAACGCGUAGGAACGUACCCCAAAGUGAGGGAUAAGCACCAGAAAUGGUGUCUAAUACCGCAUGUGGUCUUCGGAUUAAAGCUUUAUGCGCUUUGGGAACGGCCUGCGUUCGAUUAGCUUGUUGGUGAGGUAAUAGCUCACCAAGGCGAUGAUCGAUAGCUGGUCUGAGAGGAUGAUCAGCCAGACUGGAACUGAGACACGGUCCAGACUCCUACGGGAGGCAGCAGUAGGGAAUUUUCCACAAUGGACGAAAGUCUGAUGGAGCAACGCCGCGUGCAGGAUGAAGGCCUUCGGGUUGUAAACUGCUUUUGUGAGUGAAGACUUCCGACGGUAACUCACGAAUAAGGGUCGGCUAACUACGUG
RNAcentral lists this ribosomal RNA (445 nucleotides) under uncultured organism. Its description in RNAcentral is "bacterial SSU rRNA". It matches the Rfam family "Bacterial small subunit ribosomal RNA", at positions 28 to 507 of the family's 1533-position model. The record is from RNAcentral.